UCUAGAACAGUGAUACUCAGACUAAGGCUCACGAGCCACAAGUGACGCUUUAAUGAGUCUCCUGAGGCUCUUUGCAGCACAUGAUAGUAAAACACUGCGAUUUCAUCAUUAACCAAUCAGGAUGCUUUUACUAUGUUAUUAUUUUAUCAACUACAGAUGGUUAAUAAUACUUGACCAGUCAUUUUGCUGUGAGAAUUUUAUAUAUAUAUACA
Long non-coding RNA from Dermochelys coriacea (leatherback sea turtle), 212 nucleotides. RefSeq lists it as uncharacterized. The record is from RefSeq and is a predicted model, not a curated record. The transcript has 3 exons. Lineage: Eukaryota; Metazoa; Chordata; Testudines; Dermochelyidae.